RNAcentral lists this ribosomal RNA (253 nucleotides) under uncultured bacterium. Its description in RNAcentral is "partial 16S ribosomal RNA". It matches the Rfam family "Bacterial small subunit ribosomal RNA", at positions 524 to 776 of the family's 1533-position model. The record is from RNAcentral.
UACGUAGGGGGCAAGCGUUGUCCGGAAUCAUUGGGCGUAAAGAGCGUGUAGGCGGCUUGAUAAGUCUGCGGUGAAAGUCCAGGGCUCAACCCUGGAAGGCCGGUGGAAACUGUCGGGCUAGAGUCCGGAAGAGGCGAGUGGAAUUCCUGGUGUAGCGGUGAAAUGCGCAGAUAUCAGGAGGAACACCAAUGGCGAAGGCAGCUCGCUGGGACGGUACUGACGCUGAGACGCGAAAGCGUGGGGAGCAAACAGG